This 407-nucleotide ribosomal RNA is filed under the name uncultured bacterium. RNAcentral's name for it is "partial 16S ribosomal RNA". It matches the Rfam family "Bacterial small subunit ribosomal RNA", at positions 30 to 526 of the family's 1533-position model. The record is from RNAcentral.
AUUGAACGCUAGCGGGAUGCCUUACACAUGCAAGUCGAACGGAGUGGCGGACGGGUGAGUAAUAUAUCGGAACGUGACCGGUAGAGGGGGAUAACUAAUCGAAAGAGUGGCUAAUAACGCAUCCUAUUGGAGCGGCCGAUCUCGGAUUAGCUAGUGGGUGGGGUAAAGGCUCACCAAGGCAACGAGCCUUAGCAGGUUUGAGAGGACGACCAGCCACACUGGGACUUAGACACGGCCCAGACUCCUACGGGAGGCAGCAGUGGGGAAUUUUGGACAAUGGGGGAAACCCUGCUCCAGCCAUCCCGCGUGUAUGAUGAAGGCCUUCGGGUUGUAAAGUACUUUUGGCAGAGAAGCGGUAUCUGCAGAAUAAGCACCGGCUAACUACGUGCCAGCAGCCGCGGUAAUAC